UUCUGAGUAAAAUGUCAGGGAAAAAACAAAAAAAAAGAAAAGCCGUGUUUUUCUUUCUUCCAUCUCGCUGUCGUCUUUUUCUCGUUUCCUCGAUGAAGAUUGAGGAAGAGUUUCGUCUUGAUUGAGGAAGGAAACUCUUCUUACAUCCAUCCUGAUCAUUAGCUGAAUUUUUCGGCUUGAUUGAGGAAGAUUAAUUUUUGGCUUGUAUAGAUCAGUAUGAUAGCCAAUGGGUUUCGGUGAAUUUGAGCAACUAUGAUGAAUCAACUAUUCGGGAAACCCAAGCAGGAGUCUAAUUUUGUUAACGAUGUAUGUUCCAAUUUAGACAAUCUUAAGGAGACGCUUGAAAUGCUAGAGAAAAAGGAGACAAUACUCUUGAAGAAGGCUGGUCAAGAGGAGUGAUGCUUAACUUGUGUUCGUAUACGCAGAUAACUCGUCUGACGCUUCUUAGCGAUCAGUUGCAUUCAACUCGCAUAGCAUUUGUUGAAUUUGCUCUGGCGAGCUCUUUUCUCCAUGGGUGUAAUGUUUACUUUUGCUCAUUUUACUGAUGAAAACAGUGUCAUAAUACAUUCCCUAUACUAUUUAAUUUCUUUCUCUCGAAUGUAAUGUUUGAUUAAGGGAUGAAAGAUGACUUGGCAUUGUUUUCAGCUGCAAACUCAGAAACUUAUACUUGUUUUUGUUUUUGAGUGAACAGAUAGAGGUAGAUUCGAUACAUAGAGUGUAUUAGAGGAUUGUUUUCAUGUUGGAUUAUGACAUUGUUGUCAUGUUGUUGCUGAACAUUGGAGGAUUGCAAGUGAUAACUCCUCCUAUAGCUGUUUUUGUUGGUUCUCAUGUCAUUGUGAUUCCUGUA
Long non-coding RNA from Camelina sativa (false flax), 847 nucleotides. RefSeq lists it as uncharacterized. The record is from RefSeq and is a predicted model, not a curated record. NCBI's taxonomy places the organism in Eukaryota, Viridiplantae, Streptophyta, Magnoliopsida, Brassicales, Brassicaceae.